UACGUAUGGAGCAAGCGUUAUCCGGAUUUACUGGGUGUAAAGGGAGAGUAGGUGGCAGAGCAAGUCCGAAGUGAAAACCCAAAGCUCAACUAUGGGAAUGCUUUAGAAACUGCUCAGCUAGAGUGCAGGAGAGGCAAGUGGAAUUCUUAGUGUAGCGGUGAAAUGCGUAGAUAUCAGGAGGAACACCGGCGGCGAAGGCGGCUUACUGGACUGUAACUGACGUUGAGGCUCGAAAGUGUGGGUAUCAAACAGG
RNAcentral lists this ribosomal RNA (253 nucleotides) under uncultured Lachnospiraceae bacterium. RNAcentral's name for it is "partial 16S ribosomal RNA". It matches the Rfam family "Bacterial small subunit ribosomal RNA", at positions 524 to 776 of the family's 1533-position model. Lineage: Bacteria; Bacillati; Bacillota; Clostridia; Lachnospirales; Lachnospiraceae. The record is from RNAcentral.